AGAUGAUGUUCUCUCUACCUUCAGAAUAUAUUAAUAAUCAAACUACUUCUCAUUUAUUUUUCUCCAUCCUUGCGUGAACUUUGAGCAUCUAUCAUCUCUGGCAUAGGUUGAUUGGCUGUCUGGGUGAUCCCCAUUGUGAGUGUGGAUGUGGAGACUGCUUGCCGCAAUGGGACGGUGUCCUGUCCAAUGCUGGUUCCCGCCUUGCAACCUGAGCUGCUGAGACAGACUCCAGCCACCCACGACUCUGAACUAGAAUAAGCUAAAGUGCAGAGACAUAAUUGUGUAUCACUGCAACCUUCACAUCCUGGGCUCAAGUGAUCCUCCCACCUCAGCCUCCCAAGUAGCAGAGACUACAGGUAC
This 360-nucleotide long non-coding RNA is filed under the name Homo sapiens (human). RNAcentral's name for it is "HSALNT0085261". Lineage: Eukaryota; Metazoa; Chordata; Mammalia; Primates; Hominidae. The record is from RNAcentral.